GAUGAAGAACGCAGCGAAAUGCGAUAAGUAAUGCGAAUUGCAGAAUUUCCGUGAGUCAUCGAAUCUUUGAACGCACAUUGCGCCCCUUGGUAUUCCAUGGGGCAUGCCUGUUCGAGCGUCAUUUGUACCCUCAAGCUUUGCUUGGUGUUGGGUGUUUGUCCCGCGUUGCGCGUGGACUCGCAUUAAAGCGAUUGGCAGCCGGCAUAUUGGCCUUGGAGCGCAGCACAUUUUGCGCUUCUAGUCAUGAAUGUUGGCGUCCAUUAAGCCUAUACAUUUGCUCUUGACCUCGGAUCAGGUAGGGAUACCCGCUGAACUUAAGCAUAUCAAUAAGCGGAGGA
Molecule: unclassified non-coding RNA, 338 nt
Filed under: soil metagenome
Description: partial contains 5.8S ribosomal RNA, internal transcribed spacer 2, and large subunit ribosomal RNA
Rfam family: 5.8S ribosomal RNA (bases 1-121)
Source: RNAcentral